Molecule: ribosomal RNA, 501 nt
Filed under: uncultured bacterium
Lineage: Bacteria
Description: partial 16S ribosomal RNA
Rfam family: Bacterial small subunit ribosomal RNA
Source: RNAcentral
AUUGAACGCUGGCGGCAUGCCUUACACAUGCAAGUCGAACGGCAGCACGGGUGCUUGCACCUGGUGGCGAGUGGCGAACGGGUGAGUAAUAUAUCGGAACGUACCUUAUUGUGGGGGAUAACGCAGCGAAAGCUGUGCUAAUACCGCAUAAUCCCUAAGGGGGAAAGCGGGGGACCGUAAGGCCUCGCGCAAUUAGAGCGGCCGAUACCUGAUUAGCUAGUUGGUGAGGUAAAGGCUCACCAAGGCAACGAUCAGUAGCUGGACUGAGAGGACGGUCAGCCAAACUGGGACUGAGACACGGCCCAGACUCCUACGGGAGGCAGCAGUGGGGAAUUUUGGACAAUGGGGGCAACCCUGAUCCAGCAAUGCCGCGUGAGUGAAGAAGGCCUUCGGGUUGUAAAGCUCUUUUGUCAGGGAAGAAACAGCAGCUCUAACACAGUUUGCGAAUGACGGUACCUGAGGAAUAAGCACCGGCUAACUACGUGCCAGCAGCCGCCGCGG